Molecule: long non-coding RNA, 1276 nt
Organism: Adelges cooleyi (spruce gall adelgid)
Lineage: Eukaryota; Metazoa; Arthropoda; Insecta; Hemiptera; Adelgidae
Exons: 3
Source: RefSeq, a predicted model, not a curated record
GUUGCUGAGUUAAACUUCAAUUGACGUUAGAAAAUAUAAUAAGAUGCUCACUAAUUUGUUAAUAUCAAUUUUUUUAAUUGCUAAUCCUGUACUGUGUGCAAACCCUACUGAUAACGAGCGUCUAGAUGGCGUUUAUGCAUACUUGAAAAAUUGGUUGGGAAUACCACCGAAUCAACCAAAUAUUAAUAUUACAAUGAAUCAAUUUUAUACGUUUGUGGGUCAUUCUGAUACGCAUAGAAUGUUAGUAAAUGGGUUCUUUACACUUUAUCCAAGCGAAAAGACAAACCAAGACAAUAUUAAUGUGCAUUUAUUUAAGAUGCUUAUAAGACAAGUUUGCAUUGGAACUGGGAGGGAUCCAGUACGCUUCACUAAUGAACAAAUGGCAGCACUCUAUAACAUAAGCCGGGAAGCUCAAAACAAAUAUAUAAGAGACUAUCAAUAUCUAGAAUAGAACUUACUUUGAUAUCUAAAUUAUAUAUUAUAGUAUUAAGCAACUUAUUUGGGUUCAUUAUUUUCAUCCAUUUGUAUAUAAACAUUUACAUUUUUUUUCGCUUAUGUUAUAAAUAAUAUGAAUUAUUCUCCUUUUUAAAAAAUUGCUAAAUGUUUUAACAUAAUAAAUAAAUUGUGUUCGAAAUUAAAAAUAUUAAUUUAUUUGUUUAAAUUUGAGUAUAACGCUCAAUAAGGGAAAUGAGUGCAGUUGUAAGUUACACCAACAGUUACACGACAUUGAAUCGUCUACGGUAUUGGGCAAGAAACAGUUGUUAUAUAUUAUGUCCAACAGUUUAUUUUAAUGAAUUGAAACCCAAUAUUCUACAAGCUUUUAUCGUGUAUUAAUAACAUACGACGAGUAAAUUAUCCACGUAGGUUUACAAAAUUGUAUAUUUGACAGCAUUUUUAAAAUAUUAAAAUUAGUUUGCUUUAUGGAUUAAGUAAAUAAAACUAUGGUCACGAUUUUUUUUUUAACUUUUUAAACUUUCAACGUGAUUGUUUUAGUUAAAUUUCUUAAGGAAGUAGAACCAAAAAAAACAUGCUUUCCUUCAAUCACACUUUACAUAAUUACAUUAAAAUACAAUAAAACAAAGGAAGUAAAGUAUCGGUUUUUUUAUCCGCGACCGCGACCGCAACCGCUAUACAUAUACUUACACCUACUAUUAUUUCCGCAGAAAUUACUGGUUUAAACAUUGAAAUUGUAACUAGAUUUAGUGUAAUAUUAGUGACAAUUUCUAUUGUAAAUUGUAAACUGUAUUAAUAAAAUAUUGUAAAUUGUUGUGUUUAA